UGAGGAAUAUUGGUCAAUGGACGAGAGUCUGAACCAGCCAAGUAGCGUGAAGGAUGACUGCCCUAUGGGUUGUAAACUUCUUUUAUAUGGGAAUAAAGUUCAGUAUGUAUACUGUUUUGUAUGUACCAUAUGAAUAAGGAUCGGCUAACUCCGUGCCAGCAGCCGCGGUAAUACGGAGGAUCCGAGCGUUAUCCGGAUUUAUUGGGUUUAAAGGGAGCGUAGGCGGAAGCUUAAGUCAGUUGUGAAAGUUUGCGGCUUAACCGUAAAAUUGCAGUUGAUACUGGGUUUCUUGAGUGCAGCAGAGGUAGGCGGAAUUCGUGGUGUAGCGGUGAAAUGCUUAGAUAUCACGAAGAACUCCGAUUGCGAAGGCAGCAUACCGGCGCUCAACUGACGCUGAGGCACGAAAGCGUGGGGGAUCGAACAGGAUUAGUACC
Molecule: ribosomal RNA, 434 nt
Filed under: uncultured bacterium
Lineage: Bacteria
Description: bacterial SSU rRNA
Rfam family: Bacterial small subunit ribosomal RNA
Source: RNAcentral